UUUUACAAGAUUGAUAACAGUGCACAUCAUUGAAUUGAAAUCAAAGCCUAACAUGCUACAAAAGACAUGUGAUCUCCAAAGGAGAAGUAGAGUCAUUGUAGAGCUUGCCUAAGGUCACACAUCAUAUUGAACCCCAGCCGAGACACUGCACCAUCUUCUCCGCUGCCGUUGAGCCAUGGCCAUCGCUCGCUGUCCCUGCGGAAUCAAAGAUCUGAGAUUGGGCUGCAGGCUGUCUUCACACUUCAUGGGUAAAAAAGGGAUAAAAUGACAAAUUCACAAAUCUGAUACAGGUAAUCAAGAAGAAAUAACAUGCAUACUAAAUUUAGUGAUAGUUCAUAGAAGCGACAAGCUAUCACUAUGCAGAUUUAUGGGCAAUGCCCUCUAUAUAUCUAGACUGUCACUCCAGGCUACAGAGUAUGUUGCGAUAUGUUUCACAUGUUACUGUUUCUCAUCUAGCUAAAAAGAAAGAUAAAUAUACAAUUUGACACCGAGCAUCCUACUGUGUCAGUUGCAUCCUCCCAUCAUCCUUUUCAAUAUUAAAUUGAUCCUGAAAAUAACAUAAAAAGCAUCAAGAAAAAAUUGAAUGAUUGAAGUGUAAAGAAACAGGAAGCAGCAUGGGUGUUCAAGUUAUGUUCUGUACCAAAUGGUAUCGUCGCCCAACAAAAAUAAAGAGCAAGAAUGCAUAAACAACCAACCAUACCGCACAUGCACAACUCAUAAAUAUGGAUCGGCCAUACAGAAUUUUCUUCAGAGUUCCCAUAUCAUACGUAAACUAGCCUAUUAAUGGAAUUGGAUCAAAACAACUAUUGCACCAGGGUACAAUUACUACAUAAAAUGUUGUCUCACUAUUUAACUUUGCAAACCCCAUAUUCCAUAUACCACUCAGAACUCAGGGUGGACGCAACGAGCACGCUUUUUGGCCCGCUCGUGGCCCGCAUAGGACCGGACCGAACGGUCCGGGCUCGCUAGCAAACUUGGUCGGUCCGGAUUGAAAAAGUAGGCCCGCUCAGCACCUCGGUCCGGUCCGCAUUUUAACCGAGCCGCUCGGUCGGACCGAGAACUGCCGCCGGCGACGUGGGCGCUGCGUCGAGGUGAGCAUCCUGGCUCGCUUUAACCAGUCGAGCCUCGUUCGCCUGUUCGAUCUCUGCAUCACUGCAUGCACCGCGGCUACACAUACAUGGUGUUCUAGUUCGCCGAGAACAGCCCGUUCAAUGAGUGGCUCCACGUCCAUGGAGGCGAGAUGAUGGGAUGGAUGACCCAGCACGUAGUCGGCAUCUGCACAGGCACGCACGGCGAGCGGCGGCACACACUCACGCACGCCAUAUGUCGUUCCUGCGGUGACCGCGGUGUCAGUUAAAAGUUGUUGUCAAACAUUCAGUUUCGUCAGGCGUAAUUGUACUGUUAAAAGUUCAGCUUCGUCAGUUGGAAUUUUCUUCAGUUUGUGACUUGGUCAAUUGGUCUUAGGUUGUUAGCGCAGCCCGUCGCUUUAAUCGGAUCUUAGGAUGGCACGAUACUAAAACGAUCCUAGCGACGAUGCAGGGUAGCGGGCAAGGAACGCUGGGAUGGCAGAAACAGCAAGGCCCGCACACAGAAAAUUGUGGGUGUUUUCCUUUCCUUUUAUUCCGUCUAACAGAUAACAGAAACCGCAAAAGAAGCGAGGUUCGAUCCGUUAAUUAAGGCGUCAUCCCACGACUAUCUCCACGUCAAAAUUGAUCCACUAAUCACAGCAAUGCCACCACACACGAAAUCGUGGGCUCAUGGACGCGCUAAAAUACUUGCAUGUAACGGAAAAGCUGCAGCAACAAACAUGAGCGGCUAACAGAUGCGCCCUGGCCGGCGCCACCGCGUCUCGUCGUCGCCGAUCUCGACCAGGCAGUUGUCUUCAUCAUGUCCAGGAGCUCGCCGGAGUCGUCUGUCGCCGCUGCCGUGGUCACCACGUCGCCGCCGCCGCCGCCAUGGGCGGUCCUCUCGGUCCGGCCCGAGCUUUACCUCCGCCGGUCCGGUGCAGGAAAAGGAGACCGCCGCGCUGCUCGGUCCGGUCCGGUUCAGUCCGCCGCCGGCCGGUCCAAACGGCGGCUCGGUCAGGGACCGGACCGGCCCGGACCGUGUCCACCCUGACUCAGAACUGAUGCAAAAAGAUAAAAGUAGCCAAAUAUAUCAGGACAUAGUCUCGCUAUGUUCUGAAACCAAUAUAUAGGUCAUUUUACUAAAAUCUACCAAGUCUUCUAGACACCCACUGAACCAUAAUGCAUGAAACUAAAUACAUCAGCAACGGCGAGCACAAUAAGCAGCGCAGGAGCAUCAAGCAAAGAGGAGUACCAGGUGGUGAUAGGAAGUAGCUGAGUCGUUGGGGUCGGGCGAAUCGGAACAGUGACGAUGAGUAUAUCGUGGGCAUGGGGUACCAUGUUCGAAUUGAUCAACUGAAGAGCAACGAGAAAGAAAUUGAACAGGCAAAGAGAAAAUAUGUCUGCAUACUGUUAGAGAUAGAGGGUAUUACCUCAAGAUGGCAAUGGGGCCCCGAAACCCGCGUCCCCGCGGGUUUUUACCCUAUUAGGGGACGGGGAUGGGCAUAUUUUCAUCCCCGUGGGGCUGUUGUUGGGCACAUUAUACAACCCGACAUGUUUCGUGGGUUUGCACCCGUUUCAGCAGUCCCCGAACCCGAAACCCGGCAAACCCAGGAAAAUACAUUUUUUACCAAGCACUGAUCCGGUGCGGCCCAAACCAAAGCUAUCGAGCCUGAGCGACCGAGCCCCCACCCCCCAACGUUGAAGGCCAAACCAAGAAUUCUAUUUUAAAACUUAUGUAAUUGCACAUCUUGUUGAACCAUGUAUGGCUUAUCAUCUUUCUUGCUGAAAUCUGAUCAUUUUUGUUGCUGAAAUGUGGUGUCAUGCUGCUGAAAUACAUUCUAUAUAGCUGUUGAACCAUCUAAUAUUGUUUUUUGUUGAAAUUUGCUCAAGUUAUGCUGCUGAAAUGUGCUUGUUUUGCUGCUGAAAUGUUAUUCUUUGUCGCCACUAUGUUUGUUUAAAUAUUUUGAUUUUCUUGUGGGUCCCCCGUGGGUUCCCCGAAACCCGAUGGGUUUAGGGGACGGGCGGAAAACUAGCCCCGCGCAUGGUGAUGGGGAUGGGGACGGGUUUAUGAUUUUCUCGUGGGGAUGGGUUUGGGAAGGCAAACCCCGAUGGGUUUCGUCCCCAUUGCCAUCUUGAGUAUUACCCAUGUGUAUGAGAGGGUGAUACCCGAGUGUGUCUGGAUAUGUUGUGUGUGUUCUAAAGGAAAUGUAGUGAUCUGAGGGAUAUGCUUAUCAGUACUUGUCACUUGGAGUAAGUUCUAAAGAAGAAAAGGUAGUGGUCUGAGGAACCAGCAAAUAAAAAAGAGAGGCUACCUUGCAACAAACAAAAACUGUGUUGUACUGGUAUCAAUGGCAUAUAUCCUAUACGUGAACUGAACACUUCCCCAGAUCAAGACUAACGCCAUCAUUUCCUUGAUUCCUUCUAUUCAACAGGACAUACGAGAUACAACACCAUUAGUUUAUCUCAGGUAAAACUGGAAUUUACGUAGCGCCUUUUUUCAUAGGCAAAUGUAAAGAAAUAUCACAAAGAAAAGUGUACUAGCAAUUCAAAAGAACGUCAUGGCACAAACCAAGUCUCAGCAAAUGACCCUCCAAUAUUGAACAAAUCAUUGAGAGGCAAACUAAUAAUCCGAAAAUCAUCCACGUGAUACCACCACAACUCUUCCUUUCAAUUUUCAUAGGUAGCGCUAUAAUGCAGGAGUAAUCAUUCUACCAAACGAUCAAUCUUGCCAUAACAUGUCGUUUUGCACUAUGAAAAGUACAGACAAUGCCCCUUUCAGCAAGCAUCCAUCAUGCUUGGCGAGACAUUAAUAAAACUAAACCAAGUUAGAAAAUAUAUAUCUGCAAGUAGUUGAAGAUACAACACCAUAUGAGAGUAGAGAAUGCAAUCAAUAUGCUAACUGUAUAUGUGUACAGAAAAGUUUAUAGACAUUGAAUUUAGUGACCACAUAUGAAUCUGUUAGGUGGCAAGAUGCUACGUAUUAUUAGUUAAAUUUCAGUGGUACCUAAGAUAAACUCAUGCGUGGAGCUGCAGCAGGAUUCAGUAUGUUUAGCAGUGGCCAGACCAUCAAGUAGCCAAGCUUAUAGAUAAUCCGCUCUUGUAAGACAUGUAAAUAAGCACCGGCAAAUGAUGUUGGUACAACUGCAUAACUGCAGUUACCCUAGGACAAAAGGACACAUCAUGAAAGGAAUAACAUAUGCACAAUUGGUCUGCUGCCGUGUUAUGUGCUAAACAGUACCUGCACGUCGAUGAUGACCAUGUGUAUGAGCUUGAUAGGACCGCUCUCUAAACCGCUGCGGAAGUGCGUAAGCCGAGACACCCGGACACAUAGCAUUUGAUUUUGUCUUCCACAACAUAGAUCAGCAAGGGUGAUAGAAGCCAUCUGACAAAAGAUACAGUGAAUAGCAGCUAUCCACUUAGGUAAACAUUCAGGGGAAUAAAACAAUAAAUGAAAAAUGUACCGACUUCAAAAGAUAAAACCAUGAUUGUAUGAAAAUUGUACUGAUCUUAAAAGAUAUAAAUCAUGUCUCCUAUGAAAUAUGUUAGUCCCUGGCACAAACAGACCAUUGUUCUGGAAGGAAAAAUAAUUAUCUUAUUAAGUUCUUGAAUUUGCAUCUAUCUUUCCUAUAAGUAUAGUGUUAGCUGAGGCAAUCAUUUUCCUUACACAAACUUUGCUAAGGCAAGGCAAUUAUUCCCUUCUAAUUCAUAAGUUUCCAUUAAAACAUUUAUGUAAGAACCACAUCUCAUAUCUUCAAACCACACACUUCCCGAAGUUCCAAUUAUAGAAGCACUUGCAGCAGAAGUGGAUAUUGGCAAGCAUCGCAAAGCAGACAUAUAAUUUCAAUAAGCAUUUCCAUAUCUAUUAAAAUAGUGCUUCUCAUCACAUAGCAGGAAUAAAUUGUCCAUGUCUUUGUUUUAUAUUUCUGUUAGGAGUAUAUAGUAUGUUUCAACAAUUCUUAGAACCUAAGCUAGCCUUCUUAUUUACUACUCCCUCUGUAAACAAAUAUAAGCCUUCCAAUAUUUUUUGACCCAAGACAAAAUAAACAAGCCUUCCAAUAUUUUUCGAGGAAAAGCCUUCCAAUAUGGGGACUGUUAUUUCCUAACUGCAAGUAUUUAGCGUCAUUGACAGAACUGACAGUCUCCUUAGUCACAGAAAUCAGCACAUAUGUAAACAAUAGAUCUCACUACAAAAAUAGGAUGAAGCAUAGGCAGGCAAUAUCUAAUAAACAAAAUUAAGCAAGGCAACAAACGCCUCACCUGGAAAGAGGACAGCAGGCCUAGCCUCUCUCACGAACAAUACAAGAUAAAUGAGGGUAAACAAAAAGGGGGAUUAAAGAAAGGAGGGCUAAACCUGCACAACCGUGGACGCAGCUACGGCAGGAACACGACCACGAGAACAAAUCAGACGCGGGCAUGAGCAUGUACGUGACUUC
RNAcentral lists this long non-coding RNA (5500 nucleotides) under Triticum aestivum (bread wheat). RNAcentral's name for it is "long non-coding RNA (TAES_LNC014283)". Lineage: Eukaryota; Viridiplantae; Streptophyta; Magnoliopsida; Poales; Poaceae. The record is from RNAcentral.